Molecule: ribosomal RNA, 246 nt
Filed under: uncultured bacterium
Lineage: Bacteria
Description: partial 16S ribosomal RNA
Rfam family: Bacterial small subunit ribosomal RNA
Source: RNAcentral
UACGUAGGGUGCAAGCGUUAAUCGGAAUUACUGGGCGUAAGCGUGCGCAGGCGGUUUGUAAGUCAGAUGUGAAAUCCCCGGGCUUAACCUGGGAACUGCGUUUGAAACUACAAGGCUAGAGUGUGGCAGAGGGGGUGGAAUCCGCGUGUAGCAGUGAAAUGCGUAGAUAUGCGGAGGAACACCGAUGGCGAAGGCAAUCCCUGGGCCUGCACUGACGCUCAUGCACGAAGCGUGGGAGCAAACAGG